RNAcentral lists this ribosomal RNA (451 nucleotides) under uncultured bacterium. RNAcentral describes it as "bacterial SSU rRNA". It matches the Rfam family "Bacterial small subunit ribosomal RNA", at positions 354 to 796 of the family's 1533-position model. The record is from RNAcentral.
GUGGGGAAUAUUGGACAAUGGGGGGAACCCUGAUCCAGCCAUGCCGCGUGUGUGAAGAAGGCCUUUUGGUUGUAAAGCACUUUAAGCGAGGAGGAGGCUACCGAGAUUAAUACUCUUGGAUAGUGGACGUUACUCGCAGAAUAAGCACCGGCUAACUCUGUGCCAGCAGCCGCGGUAAUACAGAGGGUGCAAGCGUUAAUCGGAUUUACUGGUCUUCAAGCGCGCGUAGGUGGCCAAUUAAGUCAAAUGUGAAAUCCCCGAGCUUAACUUGGGAAUUGCAUUCGAUACUGGUUGGCUAGAGUAUGGGAGAGGAUGGUAGAAUUCCAGGUGUAGCGGUUAAAUGCGUAGAGAUCUGGAGGAAUACCGAUGGCGAAGGCAGCCAUCUGGCCUAAUACUGACACUGAGGUGCGAAAGCAUGGGGAGCAAACAGGAUUAGAUACCCCAGUAGUCC